AUGCAAUCCACCAAGUCCUGAGAUCAUACCCAGUAUGCCAGUUGUUGCAGAAGUGGGAAGCAAUCAGUAGUGGAGAUAUGUAGACGUAUCCUAGUUGAACACUUGUAGAAAUACAAACAUCUUGAAUCCUUGCUAUGCCUGAGAAGGAUGGAAUAGCCAUUAAGACUGAUUUCAGGUGGUUUUGAUAGGCACAGAACAACUAAGCCUGCAUCUUCAGG
This is a long non-coding RNA of Pipra filicauda (Wire-tailed manakin), 218 nucleotides long. RefSeq lists it as uncharacterized. Lineage: Eukaryota; Metazoa; Chordata; Aves; Passeriformes; Pipridae. The record is from RefSeq and is a predicted model, not a curated record. The transcript is spliced from 3 exons.